CUGAGCGGCUCCUCCGUCCCCAGCCCACUGGGAAGUGAAGCCGGGUCACAGGGAAGCCUGGCCUGACCUCAGGCUGCAGGAAGGCUGGGCCAGGGACUUCUCCUCUAUCCUGCGGUGGAAGUCAAUGCUCUUGAGGUGACACACCCAUGUCACAGAGCGGUGGAGCCUGCUCUCCACGGUCCGGGGGCUGAGGCAUUGAGGUGCCUCCCCUUCCCCCGUCUGAGCCCCAAGACGGGAGCGCUGGGCUGCGUCCGGGCCAGAGCUUGCCU
Molecule: long non-coding RNA, 269 nt
Organism: Cebus imitator (Panamanian white-faced capuchin)
Lineage: Eukaryota; Metazoa; Chordata; Mammalia; Primates; Cebidae
Exons: 3
Source: RefSeq, a predicted model, not a curated record